GACGAACGCUGGCGGCGUGCUUAACACAUGCAAGUCGAACGGAAAGGCCCUGCUUUUGUGGGGCGCUCGAGUGGCGAACGGGCGAGUAACACGUGAGUAACCUGCCCUUGACUUUGGGAUAACUUCAGGAAACUGGGGCUAAUACCGGAUAGGAGCUCCUGCUGCAUGGUGGGGGUUGGAAAGUUUCGGCGGUUGGGGAUGGACUCGCGGCUUAUCAGCUUGUUGGUGGGGUAGUGGCUUACCAAGGCUUUGACGGGUAGCCGGCCUGAGAGGGUGACCGGCCACAUUGGGACUGAGAUACGGCCCAGACUCCUACGGGAGGCAGCAGUGGGGAAUAUUGCACAAUGGGCGGAAGCCUGAUGCAGCAACGCCGCGUGCGGGAUGACGGCCUUCGGGUUGUAAACCGCUUUCGCCUGUGACGAAGCGUGAGUGACGGUAAUGGGUAAAGAAGCACCGGCUAACUACGUG
RNAcentral lists this ribosomal RNA (468 nucleotides) under uncultured bacterium. RNAcentral describes it as "partial 16S ribosomal RNA". It matches the Rfam family "Bacterial small subunit ribosomal RNA", at positions 28 to 507 of the family's 1533-position model. The record is from RNAcentral.